This 458-nucleotide ribosomal RNA is filed under the name uncultured bacterium. RNAcentral describes it as "partial 16S ribosomal RNA". It matches the Rfam family "Bacterial small subunit ribosomal RNA", at positions 30 to 507 of the family's 1533-position model. The record is from RNAcentral.
AAUGAACGCUGGCGGCAUGCCUAACACAUGCAAGUCGAACGAGAACACGGGGACCUGUGGCGCCUGGGUGCGUAGGGGGGCGGAAGGUGACCUUAGGUUCGGAAUAACUAUAAGAAAGGGGUGAUAACAGUAGAUAAUAUCUUAUACCCAAUAAUAUAUCGCACUGGGGUGGGCAAGGGUUGGAUUCGCUUGUUGGUAGGGUAAUAGCCUACCAAGGCGACGAUGGAUAGAUGGUAAAAGAGGGAGAUCAGCCACACUGGGACUGAGACACGGCCCCAACUCCGACGGGAGGAAGCAGCCGGGACUCUUACGCAAUGGGGGAAAGCCUGAUACAGCAAAGCCGGGUGAGGGCUGAAGGACUUAGGCUUGUAAAGUGAUGUUGUCCGGAAGGAAGAAAAGCUCGUUUACCCGCGAUGGUAAUGACGGUACCGAAAGAAUAAGCUCCGGCUAACUACGUG